RNAcentral lists this ribosomal RNA (264 nucleotides) under uncultured bacterium. Its description in RNAcentral is "partial 16S ribosomal RNA". It matches the Rfam family "Bacterial small subunit ribosomal RNA", at positions 47 to 339 of the family's 1533-position model. The record is from RNAcentral.
CCUAACACAUGCAAGUCGAGCGAGGUAGCAAUACCUAGCGGCAGACGGGUGCGUAACAUGUGGGAAUCUGCCUUUUGGUUCGGAACAACACGGGGAAACCUGUGCUAAUACCGGAUAAGUCCUUACGGAGAAAGUUUUAACGCCAAAAGAUGAGCCCGCAUUUGAUUAGCUUGUUGGUGAGGUAAUGGCUCACCAAGGCGACGAUCAGUAGCUGGCCUGAGAGGAUGAUCAGCCACACUGGGACUGAGAUACGGCCCAGACUCC